GACGAAGAGGGCUAGCGUUGUUCGGAAUUACUGGGCGUAAAGGGCGCGUAGGUGGCCUGUUAAGUCGAACGUGAAAUCCCUGGGCUCGACCCAGGAACUGCGUCCGAUACUGGCAGGCUUGAAUUCGGGAGAGGGAUGCGGAAUUCCAGGUGUAGCGGUGAAAUGCGUAGAUAUCGGGAGGAACACCGGUGGCGAAGGCGGCGACCUGGGUCGAGACUGACGCUGAGGCGCGAAAGCGUGGGGAGCAAACAGG
Molecule: ribosomal RNA, 253 nt
Filed under: uncultured bacterium
Lineage: Bacteria
Description: partial 16S ribosomal RNA
Rfam family: Bacterial small subunit ribosomal RNA
Source: RNAcentral